This 74-nucleotide transfer RNA is filed under the name Aphyosemion gabunense (Gabon killifish). RNAcentral describes it as "tRNA-Leu". It matches the Rfam family "tRNA". Rfam says of the family: Transfer RNA (tRNA) molecules are approximately 80 nucleotides in length. Their secondary structure includes four short double-helical elements and three loops (D, anti-codon, and T loops). The record is from RNAcentral. Lineage: Eukaryota; Metazoa; Chordata; Actinopteri; Cyprinodontiformes; Nothobranchiidae.
GUUAAGGUGGCAGAGUCCGGUUAAUGCAAAAGACCUAAGCUCUUUGCACGGAGGUUCAAGUCCUCCCCCUAACU